Molecule: ribosomal RNA, 245 nt
Filed under: uncultured bacterium
Lineage: Bacteria
Description: partial 16S ribosomal RNA
Rfam family: Bacterial small subunit ribosomal RNA
Source: RNAcentral
GAUCAUGGCUCAGGAUGAACGCUAGCGGCAGGCCUAACACAUGCAAGUCGAGGGGCAGCACGGUGUAGCAAUACACUGGUGGCGACCGGCGCACGGGUGCGUAACGCGUAUGCAACCUACCCAUAACAGGGGGAUAACACUGAGAAAUUGGUACUAAUACCCCGUAACAUCAGGACCGGGCAUCGGUUCUGGUUGAAAACUCCGGUGGUUAUGGAUGGGGCAUGCGUUGUAUUAGCUGGUUGGUG